Long non-coding RNA from Rhipicephalus microplus (southern cattle tick), 544 nucleotides. Lineage: Eukaryota; Metazoa; Arthropoda; Arachnida; Ixodida; Ixodidae. The record is from RefSeq and is a predicted model, not a curated record.
CAUCCAAGGUGCCCCGAGGCGGAGGAACAAAAGUGCAUAGCGAAAAAUAACUAUUUAGGCUGCCUCAGUAAAGGUUCUCAUGAAAUCGUCAGGGUGUGCCUUAGCUGGUCUACAAAAUGCAAGGAGUAUUUUCUAAGAUACUGCAGCAACGUUACGAGCACCUUGUUCUGCUACCAGAAAGGUCCUCUGUGCAGCUGCCUAUGCUGUCGGCACUCAGGAAAAGGCAAUGCUAUAGCUUGUAAAGGAAGAGCCGGAAUCCAAUAACUUUUUUGUCAUGGCUUCAGUGUUUUACGAAAGCUCAGGUCGCACCACCAUUAUUAAGAAACGGGUGCUACACGAACAAAAUUCUGGGCUUCGUCUACGAGUCAUUGCGGACAGUCACCACUACAAAUAAAGAUGCAUGUCAUAAUAAUUAAGAAAAAAAUAACAAUAUAUAAUAAAUUGCAAGUAAAGAUACAUAUUUUACUUUUCUACAUGAGCAUUAUAAAGGGCACGAAAGGUUUAUUGCAACUCAGUCAACUAAUUAAAGCAUAAAGUGAUUUGC